AAUGUCCAACUGACAGUAGACAUGGGAUCAAGUGUCCAAGACCCCCCUUCAGAAACAACCACAAUUUGUUGCUUCUGUGAAUUCAGCACUGGCUAAGCACAGAAGCAUCUACCGUUCCCAGAGCACCUCCCAGGAAAAGACAGCAGAGAUCAGCAGCCUCAGGACAACUGGCUGGCACCCGGCUACACCGUCACCUGCCGCAAUGGCUGGGCACUGACAGAUGGAACCACCCAGAAGAUGUGGGUCAGAGAUCUGUAGCUGAGCCCUGCCACAGGGGCUCUUUUCUCCAGAAAGGUGACCAGAUGUGGCUAGGAGUCUGUCUGCCACAUGAUCUCUUCUUUCUCAGAACAGCACGGUGGGCUCAGGAGAAAACUCCCAACUCUUCAUAUCUGUUUCUGGAGAGACCUAGAAGAAUGGAUCAUAUUUUCAAAAUUUUGGCUUGUUGUGGAGAUAUCUGUUGUCUGGUUUUUUGUCACCCUGACAUGGAGUACUGAAGAAAAUGAGGGCGUGUUAUGGAUGACAGGUUUGUAUCUAUUGAGUAAAAAAAUUAAUUUUUUUUACAGCACCGGAAAAGCUUUAAUACCACAGACAGUAUACUAGAGAUCCAAAGAUUAUAGAAUCUAAAAAUGAAAUGAGACAAUCUUUAGAAGUCAGAAAAUAGAGCCAACAUAUCCUGACAUCAUUGUUGAGAAGCACCCAGAAUCUAUAGCCCGGUGAUUCAAUGUUAGCCUUUCCGUGUAAAAAGCUAGACUAUUAAUUACUGGAAUCAGUAGCUGAGUCUUACAUUUUCAUAUUCCAAUUGAAGAAACAAAUUUACAUAAAUUAACCUACCCUAAAGAAAUUAAGGUAUAUGCAUUAUUUGAAAAAAUUCAAAAUAAUUCUCUGAAACUUGCUCAAUAAGUGAAACAGAACAUAGACUUAAAGAAAUAGAAAAAUUACAUGAAGAAAUUCAGAAAACCAAUAUAAAGUAAAACUAUAAACAAUUCAGUAAAAUAGUAAAGCUGACGUACAAUAAUUGAAUUUUAAAAAAUUAACUAGAGGGGCCUAAUAGUCACAAACACGAAAAAGUUCAGAAAAUUAAAAAUGUGUCAUUUAUAAUUUUUGAGACAGGAAUACAAAAUUAUUAAAUAUAAAAAACAUAUAGACUAUGGGGCUUAUUGUACAUCAUUGAGCAGACCAAUAUCCUGAUGACAGAAUGCAUCAAUCUAUUUUUUAAAAAUAUUUUGGAUCCCUCAUCGGUUGAAUCCAGAGAGGCAGAAUUUACAGAUGUAGACUCAACAGUACAAGAUCUGGAAAAACUGUAGUUGAAAUAUAGGGGCAAAUAAAGACUUACCAAAAUAAGCAAAA
Molecule: long non-coding RNA, 1347 nt
Organism: Carlito syrichta (Philippine tarsier)
Lineage: Eukaryota; Metazoa; Chordata; Mammalia; Primates; Tarsiidae
Exons: 2
Source: RefSeq, a predicted model, not a curated record